RNAcentral lists this ribosomal RNA (253 nucleotides) under uncultured bacterium. RNAcentral's name for it is "partial 16S ribosomal RNA". It matches the Rfam family "Bacterial small subunit ribosomal RNA", at positions 524 to 776 of the family's 1533-position model. The record is from RNAcentral.
UACGGAGGGUGCAAGCGUUAUUCGGAAUUACUGGGCGUAAAGCGCGUGCAGGCGGGCCGAAAAGUCUGAUGUGAAAGCCCCGGGCUCAACCUGGGAAGUGCAUUGGAAACUGUUGGUCUUGAGUUCUGGAGAGGAAGGGGGAAUUCCCGGUGUAGAGGUGAAAUUCGUAGAGAUCGGGAGGAAUACCAGUGGCGAAGGCGCCCUUCUGGACGGCAACUGACGCUGAGACGCGAAAGCGUGGGGAGCAAACAGG